Molecule: long non-coding RNA, 3195 nt
Organism: Piliocolobus tephrosceles (Ugandan red Colobus)
Lineage: Eukaryota; Metazoa; Chordata; Mammalia; Primates; Cercopithecidae
Source: Ensembl
UCUAUUUUAAUGCUUGUUUUUUUUUUUGCUGUUGUAACUUUUUUUUACUACCUACACAAACAACCGCUGUACGCCUAUAAUUUUUUCACUUUGUCUAUUUACAUUUUUUUUAGAAAAUAUUCGAAGUUGAUAAAAAUUUAAAUAUCGGUUUACCUUACAACACCUUAGCUUUAUACAGGCUAAGAUAUUACAAAAACUUGCUUUUAAAAAAGUAUUCUGCAAUAAUAAAAAAUGACAAAUAUUUGGUAAUAUAUAACAUAACAUGUAUUUAUGAGUGAAUAUACACGAGUACAAAAAUUACUUACAAAACUACAAUGUUAUAUAUACUUUAAAAUAAAACAUUCCGAAAUGUUAUAUAUCGCAUAUAUUACAUAUAUAAUAAUGGUUUAUAUUGUGUACAGAUAUGAUGUGUUAAAAAAAAAAAAAAAAAAAAAAAAAAAAAAGACAACCUUUUAUUUCUUUUUUUUUUUUUUUUUUUUACUCGUAACGUUAUGUUCUUGUUUUUAUUUUAUUUUUUUUUCUCUUUUAAUAACAGAAUGCUAAUGAACAAAGAAACAAUUUUAUAGCAAAACUAAAAGCAUCUGCUAAAAUAAAUAAAGAGAACUCUACUGAACGAAGUGAUAUAUUUAAAGAUGAUUAUAAAAAUAUGACAAGAAUAUUGAAUGAAAAUUAUUUUUAUAACGAAUCACAAAAAUUAAAAGAAAUAAUAAUUACAAAUAAAUAUUUAAAUAAAGCUAAAAAUAUAAUAAAUAAUAUACCAAUUUUUUUGUAUACAAUAAUUGAAGAGUUUGAAUCGACAGGGUCUAACUUUCAAGAGGAUAUGUAUUUAUUUAUUCUUCUUUCUUUAAAUAAAUGGAUAAAAAAGAUCAUAAACGAAUGUGAAAAAUAUACUUCGUAUAAAAAACCCAAAAACGUAAAUAAAAAAAAGAAUGAAGAGAACGAUGAAUAUAAAAAAUUGAAUGAAUAUUUAAAUGAUAUAUUACAAAGAGGAGCUGAACAAACAGUUUUAUUUGUUGAUGAUAAACCGUUUUACACUUGCCCUUUCAAUUUAACAUACAACAUAAAUACUUCUUUUUUAACUUAUUAUUUUUUAUACAUAAAUAAAAAUUUGUUUGAUUUUAUUAAAUGUGAAUAUUUUGAUUUAGGAAAUGGAUCGAAAGAAGAUAAAGUAAUGAGAAAUGUCGGAAAAAUAGGGAACAUAAAACAAAAACAAAACAAAAAUAAUAAAACAGAUGACAAUAAAACAAAAGUAAAAGUCAUUUGUUUAAAGAAGACAAAAACAGAGAAUAUAUAUACGAAUAAACAUAUAUAUAAAUAUCAACUUUUUAAUGAAAGUAUAGACAUGAAUAAUUUUUCAAUUAACUUAAGUUUUUAUAUUAAUUAUGAUUAUAUAUAUCCUAAUAUAUUUUUAAUUUAUAAUUAUUUAUUACAUGAAGAAACAGCAAACAUUAUGAAGGUAGUAUAUAAAUUACAAAAAAAUAAUUUAGAUUUAAUGUUUUACCAGGAUGCUUCAAUACUAAUACAAGUGUUGUUAUACUUUUUUGAUAAUUUGAAAAAAUUAUUUUUUAAUGCCGUAAUAAAUGAGAAAAAGCAAAAACAAGCUGAAGUUGGAGUUGGAGUUGGAGUUGAAGAUAUAGAUCAUAACAACAAUAAUACAAAUGAUAAUUUGUAUGUGAUUAAAGAAAAAAUAAAUAAGACAAAAAAAGACACUAUUUCUUUUUUUUCUCCUCCUGUUGCUUCUUCUUCUAAUUAUAAUGGUUUAAACGAUUCUAAUAUUAGUACAAGUGAAAUAACAAUUGAAACUAAUACAAUAAAUGAUUAUAACACUUUUAUAGUUUCUAUACGUUUUAUGUUAUUAAAUAUAUUAAAAUAUAUUCAUAUAAUAAUUAAAAAUUCGUAUAGAAAUAGUAUUUGUACAUUUUGGCAAAAAAAUUGUAUGACCUAUGUCCAUAAAACAGUAAAAGAUAAAAUCGAAAUAAAAGAAAUCAGUUUAAAAAAUAGUAAACAGGUUGACACAAAUGAAAAUAUUGUUUAUAAAAAUUUUACUUCUAAUCAAUUUGAACAACUUAAUGUAUUAAAAUUAGCACAUAUGUGUGAAGAAAAUAUAUGCUACAUCCAAGCAAAAAAAAAUAACCAUUAUAAAAAAGGAUUGGAGACCCAAAAUAUAAAUAAUUAUGGUAGCCAUAGCGAUAACGACAGUGAUAGUGAUGAUUAUGAUAGUAGUGCCGUACCAUAUGAAAAUAAAUUUUGUUUUAAUAUGUCAGGUGUUAACAGGUUAAGUGUUAGUAGUCCAAGUACUAAGGGAUCAGGUGAUAAUAGUCCAAGUACUAAGGAGUUAAGUGAUAACAAACCAAAUAUUCCAAACCCAAAUGCUGAACAAAGAGUGUUAUGUUACAGUUUACAUAAAAAAGUUAGUGACCAUGUAGAACAAGUAAAAAUAAAUAUUGCGAACCGUAAUAGUAGAGAUAUAUAUACAGGUAUUUUGUUAAAAAAAAAUAAAUAUAAAUUAGAUACGAAUAGGAAUAGCAAACAAACUAACAAACAAACUAACAAACAAACCAACAAACAAACCAACAAACAAACCAACAAACAAACCAACAAGCAAACCAACAUAAACAACAAACAAAAAAAUAGUAUCCCUACUACUACUACUACUACUACUACUACUACUACUACUGCUGCUACUACUACCAUUAUACCAACAGUUUUAAAAAAAAUGACCAUGCCAAAAAUGAAAAAUGAAACUGUAAUGGUAAAAGCAAAAGCAGAUGUAAAAACAAUUCAAAGCGUUAUAUACAAAACAGACACAAACCGUGACAACUCUGUUAAACCUACAAAAGUGGAUAGUAAAAUAAUAAAAAUUAUAAAAAAAAAAGAAAUAAAAAAUGACCAAGUGGACUCAGAAGCGAAUAAAAAUGAUGAUAAUGUACCAUUAUCAAAAACAGUAUCUAUAACUACAAAUAAAAACUAUUCAAAUAGUUUGUUUAAUAGAAAAGGAACUGAGGGAAUUGUAAAAGAUAUAUAUCUUUCUAAGGAAGAGAGAAAAAAUACUAUUUCUAAAAAAGUAUUAAAAACAGUUUUAUCUAAUACUGUUUCCAAGAGUUCGUGUACAAAUCCCGAGGUCUUGAAAAAAAUAAACACAAAAAAAGGUGCAAAGAAGGACGCUUAAAAAAAAUAAAACAUAAAAAAUGCGCA